UACGGGGGGUGCGAGCGUUGUCCGGAAUCACUGGGUGUAAAGGGCGCGUAGGUGGUUUGAUAAGGGUGUGGUGAAAGCCCGGGGCUCAACCCCGGGUCUGCCGUGCCGACUGUCAAACUCGAGGGCUGUAGAGGCAGACGGAAUUCCGGGUGUAGCGGUGGAAUGCGUAGAGAUCCGGAGGAAGACCGGUGGCGAAGGCGGUCUGCUGGGCAGUUUCUGACACUGAGGCGCGACAGCGUGGGGAGCAAACAGG
This 253-nucleotide ribosomal RNA is filed under the name uncultured bacterium. Its description in RNAcentral is "partial 16S ribosomal RNA". It matches the Rfam family "Bacterial small subunit ribosomal RNA", at positions 524 to 776 of the family's 1533-position model. The record is from RNAcentral.